GAUGAACGCUGGCGGCAUGCCUAAUACAUGCAAGUCGAACGAGUCUUUAGGUAAGCUUGCUUCCAAAGAGACUUAGUGGCGAACGGGUGAGUAACACGUAGGUAACCUGCCCAUGUGCCCGGGAUAACUGCUGGAAACGGUAGCUAAAACCGGAUAGGUAUGAGGGAGGCAUCUUCCUCAUAUUAAAGCACCUUCGGGUGUGAACAUGGAUGGACCUGCGGCGCAUUAGCUGGUUGGUGAGGUAACGGCCCACCAAGGCGACGAUGCGUAGCCGACCUGAGAGGGUGAACGGCCACAUUGGGACUGAGACACGGCCCAAACUCCUACGGGAGGCAGCAGUAGGGAAUUUUUCGUCAAUGGGGGGAACCCCUGAACGAGCAAUGCCGCGUGGU
This 392-nucleotide ribosomal RNA is filed under the name uncultured bacterium. RNAcentral describes it as "bacterial SSU rRNA". It matches the Rfam family "Bacterial small subunit ribosomal RNA", at positions 28 to 405 of the family's 1533-position model. The record is from RNAcentral.